CAAUAGCGUAUAUUAAAGUUGUUGCAGUUAAAAAGCUCGUAGUUGGAUUUCUGGUUGAAGCGACCGGUCGGGCGUUGAUUCGUCUGCACUGGAGUCGGUUUUGGCCAUCCUCUAGGAAAGUGCGUCUGGUAUUAAGUUAUCGGGCGUAUGAUCCUGGUCUUUUACUGUGAAAAAAUUAGAGUGUUUAAAGCAGGCCUUCGCCUUGAAUACAUUAGCAUGGAAUAAUAAGAUAGGACUUUGGUCUAUUUUGUUGGUUUGCAGACCGAAGUAAUGAUUAAUAGGGAUAGUUGGGGGUAUUUAUAUUCCGAUGUCAGAGGUGAAAUUCUUAGAUUCUCGGAAGAUAAACUUAUGCGAAAGCAUUUACCAAGGAUGUUUUCAUUAA
This 382-nucleotide ribosomal RNA is filed under the name uncultured eukaryote. Its description in RNAcentral is "partial 18S ribosomal RNA". It matches the Rfam family "Eukaryotic small subunit ribosomal RNA", at positions 592 to 976 of the family's 1831-position model. The record is from RNAcentral.